GACGAACGCUGGCGGCGUGCUUAACACAUGCAAGUCGAACGGUAAGGCCCUUCGGGGUACACGAGUGGCGAACGGGUGAGUAACACGUGGGUGAUCUGCCCUGCACUUCGGGAUAAGCCUGGGAAACUGGGUCUAAUACCGGAUAGGACCACUGCCUGCAUGGGUGGUGGUGGAAAGCUUUUGCGGUGUGGGAUGGGCCCGCGGCCUAUCAGCUUGUUGGUUGGGUGAUGGCCUACCAAGGCGACGACGGGUAGCCGGCCUGAGGGGGGGACCGGCCACACUGGGACUGAGAUACGGCACAGCCUCCUACGGGAGGGAAUAGUGGAGAAGAUUGCUCGAUGGGCGCAAGCCUGAUGCAGCGACGCCGCGUGGGGGAGGACGGCCUUCGGGUUGUAAACCUCUUUCAGCACCGACGAAGCGCAAGUGACGGUAGGUGCAGAAGAAGGACCGGCCAACUACGUGCCAGCAGCCGCAGUAA
Molecule: ribosomal RNA, 478 nt
Filed under: uncultured bacterium
Lineage: Bacteria
Description: partial 16S ribosomal RNA
Rfam family: Bacterial small subunit ribosomal RNA
Source: RNAcentral